Molecule: ribosomal RNA, 241 nt
Filed under: uncultured bacterium
Lineage: Bacteria
Description: partial 16S ribosomal RNA
Rfam family: Bacterial small subunit ribosomal RNA
Source: RNAcentral
AAGCGUUGUCCGGAUUCAUUGGGCGGAAAGAGCUCGUAGGCGGUUCGAUAAGUCGGGUGUGAAACCUCCAGGCUCAACCUGGGAACUGCAUCCGAUACUGGAUGGCUUGAAUUCGGGAGAGGGAUGCAGAAUUCCAGGUGUAGCGGUGAAAUGCGUAGAUAUCUGGAGGAAUACCGGUGGCGAAGGCGGCAUCCUGGACCGACAUUGACGCUGAUGAGCGAAAGCUAGGGGAGCAAACGGG